This 214-nucleotide long non-coding RNA is filed under the name Lathyrus oleraceus (garden pea). RNAcentral describes it as "Pisum sativum (pea) long non-coding RNA (PSAT_LNC011974)". The record is from RNAcentral. Lineage: Eukaryota; Viridiplantae; Streptophyta; Magnoliopsida; Fabales; Fabaceae.
CGAAAUUCACCCUACUCCGAUACAACUUUCAUCUGAUCCAUGACCCUACUGCACAUGCAUGCUUUCAUUAUCUCCUCAUCAUAAUUAUAUUAACUUUCAUAACCAAAUACAUAUUGCAUAGGAUCAAGGCAUGAUUUAAAAAAAAAAAAAAAAAAGAAAGAGGAAAAGGGGGGAAACGGAUUUGCCUUGCACACUCCAAAAAAAAGAGCCUUUU